CUACGGGUGGCACCAGUGGGGAAUAUUGCACAAUGGGCGCAAGCCUGAUGCAGCCAUGCCGCGUGUAUGAAGAAGGCCUUCGGGUUGUAAAGUACUUUCAGCGGGGAGGAAGGGAGUAAAGUUAAUACCUUUGCUCAUUGACGUUACCCGCAGAAGAAGCACCGGCUAACUCCGUGCCAGCAGCCGCGGUAAUACGGAGGGUGCAAGCGUUAAUCGGAAUUACUGGACGUAAAGCGCACGCAGGCGGUUUGUUAAGUCAGAUGGGAAACCCCGGGCUCAACCUGGGAACUGCAUCUGAUACUGGCAAGCUUGAGUCUCGUAGAGGGGGGUAGAAUUCCAGGUGUAGCGGUGAAAUGCGUAGAGAUCUGGAGGAAUACCGGUGGCGAAGGCGGCCCCCUGGACGAAGACUGACGCUCAGGUGCGAAAGCGUGGGGAGCAAACAGGAUUAGAUACCCGGGUAGUC
Molecule: ribosomal RNA, 463 nt
Filed under: uncultured bacterium
Lineage: Bacteria
Description: partial 16S ribosomal RNA
Rfam family: Bacterial small subunit ribosomal RNA
Source: RNAcentral